Molecule: ribosomal RNA, 522 nt
Filed under: uncultured Glomeromycotina
Lineage: Eukaryota; Fungi; Glomeromycota
Description: SSU rRNA
Rfam family: Eukaryotic small subunit ribosomal RNA
Source: RNAcentral
AGCAGCCGCGGUAAUUCCAGCUCCAAUAGCGUAUAUUAAAGUUGUUGCAGUUAAAAAGCUCGUAGUUGAAUUUCGGGGUUAGUAGGUUGGUCAUGCCUCUGGUAUGUACUGGUCUCACUGAUUCCUCCUUCCUGAUGAACCUUAAUGCCAUUAAUUUGGUGUUUUGUGGAAUUUGGACUGUUACUUUGAAAAAAUUAGAGUGUUUAAAGCAAGCUAACGCUUGAAUACAUUAGCAUGGAAUAAUGAAAUAGGACGUUCGAUCCUAUUUUGUUGGUUUCUAGGAUUGACGUAAUGAUUAAUAGGGAUAGUUGGGGGCAUUAGUAUUCAAUUGUCAGAGGUGAAAUUCUUGGAUUUAUUGAAGACUAACUACUGCGAAAGCAUUUGCCAAGGAUGUUUUCAUUAAUCAAGAACGAAAGUUAGGGGAUCGAAGACGAUCAGAUACCGUCGUAGUCUUAACCAUAAACUAUGCCGACUAGGGAUCGGAUGAUGUUAAUUUUUUAAUGACUCAUUCGGCGCCUUACG